Molecule: non-coding RNA, 734 nt
Filed under: Calyptra minuticornis
Lineage: Eukaryota; Metazoa; Arthropoda; Insecta; Lepidoptera; Erebidae
Source: RNAcentral
AUAAAUUUUAGUGUUAAUUAUGAUUUAUUUUAAUAAUAAAUUUAUUUAUAAUUCAGUAGUAAUUAAUAUUAAAAAUAUAAGAAAUUAAGAUUUAGUAAUAUUUAAAUUAAUAACAAAUUUUGUGCCAGCAGUUGCGGUUAAACAAUGAUUAAAUUAAAUUUUUUUAGUAAUUAAUAAGUAUUUAAAAUAAUAAUUUAAAUUUUAAAUUAUUAAGUGAAAUUUUAAUUUAAUAAAAUUUUAUAAUAAUUUUAUGAUUUAAUAAAUUUUAUAAAAAACUAGGAUUAGAUACCCUAUUAUAAAAAUUUAAAUUAAUAAUACUAAAAUAGUAAAUAAUUAUUUAUUGAAACUUAAAUAAUUUGGCGGUAUUUUAGUUCAUUUAGAGGAAUCUGUUUAUUAAUUGAUAAUCCACGAAUAAAUUUACUUAAUUUAUAAUUUUGUAUAUCGUUGUUAAAAAAAUAUUUUAUAAUAAUAAUAAUAUUUUAAAAUUAUGAUUAAAAAUUAAAUCAGAUCAAGAUGCAGAAUAUAAUUAAGAAUAUAAUGGAUUACAAUAAAUUUAUUUAUAUGGAUAUUAAUUUGUAAUAAUUAAUUAAAAGUGGAUUUAAAUGUAAUUUUAUUUAAUUUAAUAAAAUGAUUAAUAAUUAAAAUAUGUACAUAUUGCCCGUCGCUUUCAUAUAUUAUAAAAUUGGAAUAAGUCGUAACAAAGUAGAGGUACUGGAAAGUGUUUCUAGAAAGAA